GAUGAACGCUGGCGGCGUGCCUAAUACAUGCAAGUCGAGCGAACAGACGAGGCGCUUGCUCCUCUGACGUUAGCGGCGGACGGGUGAGUAACACGUGGAUAACCUACCUAUAAGACUGGGAUCACUUCGGGAAACCGGAGCUAAUACCGGAUAACAUGUUGAACCGCAUGGUUUAACAGUGAAAGUCGGUCUUGCUGUCUCUUAUAGAUGGAUCCGCGCCGCAUUAGCUAGUUGGUAAGGUAACGGCUUACCAAGGCAACGAUGCGUAGCCGACCUGAUAGGGGGAUCGGCCACACUGGAACGGAGACACGGUCCAGACUCCUACGAGAGGCAGCAGUAGGGAAUCUUCCGCAAUGGGCGAGAGCCUGGCGGAGCAACGCGGCGUGAGAGAAAGAGGUCUUCGGAGCGUAAAACUCUGUUAUUAGGGAAGAACAAAUGUGUAAGUAACUAUGCACGGAGUGACGGUAACGAAUCAGAAAGCCACGGCUAACUACGUG
This 497-nucleotide ribosomal RNA is filed under the name uncultured bacterium. Its description in RNAcentral is "partial 16S ribosomal RNA". It matches the Rfam family "Bacterial small subunit ribosomal RNA", at positions 28 to 507 of the family's 1533-position model. The record is from RNAcentral.